GCUAAUACCGGAUAAGUCUUUACGGAGAAAGCUUUAUGCACCAUUGGAUGAGCCCGCACUUGAUUAGUUUGUUGGUAGGGUAAUGGCCUACCAAGACUAUGAUCAAUAGCUGAUUUGAGAGGAUGAUCAGCCACAUUGGGACUGAGACACGGCCCAAACUCCUACGGGAGGCAGCAGUGGGGAAUCUUGCACAAUGGAGGAAACUCUGAUGCAGCGAUGCCGCGUGAGUGAAGAAGGCCUUUGGGUUGUAAAGCUCUUUCGUCGGUGAAGAAAAUGACUGUACCCGA
Molecule: ribosomal RNA, 287 nt
Filed under: uncultured bacterium
Lineage: Bacteria
Description: partial 16S ribosomal RNA
Rfam family: Bacterial small subunit ribosomal RNA
Source: RNAcentral